This 250-nucleotide ribosomal RNA is filed under the name uncultured bacterium. Its description in RNAcentral is "partial 16S ribosomal RNA". It matches the Rfam family "Bacterial small subunit ribosomal RNA", at positions 527 to 779 of the family's 1533-position model. The record is from RNAcentral.
CGAAGGGGCGAGCGUUAUUCGGAAUCACUGGGCGUAAAGCGUGCGUAGGCGGCUUUGUAAGUUAGGAGUGAAAGCCCAGGGCUCAACCCUGGAAUUGCUCUUAAAACUACAAAGCUCGAAAUCGGGAGAGGAUAGCGGAAUUUCCAGUGUAGCAGUGAAAUGCGUAGAUAUUGGAAGACACAGUGGCGUAAGCGGCUAUCUGGACCGACAUUGACGCUGAGGCACGAAAGCGUGGGGAUCAAACAGGAUU